CAGCCGCCGCGGGAAUACGUAGGGUGCGAGCGUCAAUCGGAAUUACUGGGCGUAAAGCGUGCGCAGGCGGUUUUGUAAGACAGGCGUGAAAUCCCCGGGCUCAACCUGGGAAUGGCGCUUGUGACUGCAAAGCUAGAGUGCGGCAGAGGGGGAUGGAAUUCCACGUGUAGCAGUGAAAUGCGUAGAUAUGCGGAGGAACACCGAUGGCGAAGGCAAUCCCCUGGGCCUGCACUGACGCUCAUGCACGAAAGCGUGGGGAGCAAACAGGAUUAGAUACCCGCGUAGUCCCUGUCUCUUAUAC
RNAcentral lists this ribosomal RNA (301 nucleotides) under uncultured bacterium. RNAcentral's name for it is "partial 16S ribosomal RNA". It matches the Rfam family "Bacterial small subunit ribosomal RNA", at positions 509 to 807 of the family's 1533-position model. The record is from RNAcentral.